GUGGACGUAGCCAAGUGGACCAAGGCAAUGAAUUGUGAAUCCACCACACAUGGGUUCAAUCUUUGUCAUUCACC
Molecule: non-coding RNA, 74 nt
Organism: Picea glauca (white spruce)
Lineage: Eukaryota; Viridiplantae; Streptophyta; Pinopsida; Pinales; Pinaceae
Source: Rfam